This is a long non-coding RNA of Cornus florida, 589 nucleotides long. RefSeq lists it as uncharacterized. The transcript is spliced from 3 exons. The record is from RefSeq and is a predicted model, not a curated record. Lineage: Eukaryota; Viridiplantae; Streptophyta; Magnoliopsida; Cornales; Cornaceae.
UUUCGAAAUUGCAAAAGGUCUAUUGAAGGGGUAAAUUACAAAUCUGGAAAAGGCUUGUCGUCUGAGUCUGAAUCACUAUGGGAAAUCUGAAAUCGUACAGGUUGUUUGAACUUUUUAUCUUUAUUAAUUUAUUCCUGAUAUACAUACAAAUAUAUAUGUAUAUAUAUCCUUUAUAUAUAUAUAUAUAUAUAUAUGUAUAUAUAUAUAUAUAUAUAUGCAAUUCAUUCAUCAAUUCACAGACACAUAAAGAAUUUGUGUACUACUUUCAUUCUUAUUAUGUUAUUUCUUUACUCAUUCAUUAUUAUACAAUAGAUUUAAUCACUCAACCUUUUGCUUCUUCUUUUAUUGGCGGCUAUCUACUUGCCGAGAGUUCGCUUCCAAAACAUGGAAUAUAACCUGCACAAGAUCCUGUUCAGAACUGAUAAUUGGUGCCAUUAUAUAAUUAUUGCAAGUCAUAUCCACUAGCUGUUCACCCAAGAUUGAGUUUGAUCAGAAUUUUAGGAUGAAAUGAAACAGAAGUUUUCAUAAGUUUUUCACAAUUCUGAUGGUACCAGUCCUAGCAUAAAUGAUGUUGAGAUAGCGGAAAACC